UGGGGGAUAUUGCACAAUGGGCGAAAGCCUGAUGCAGCGACGCCGCGUGGGGGAUGAAGGCCUUCGGGUUGUAAACUUCUUUUGCUCUGAACAAGGCAUGCCUUUGGGGUGUGUUGAGUGUAGGGGUUGAUUAGCGCCGGCUAACUACGUGCCAGCAGCCGCGGUAAUACGUAGGGCGCGAGCGUUGUCCGGAAUUAUUGGGCGUAAAGGGCUUGUAGGUGGCUGGUUGCGUCUGUCGUGAAAGCUCAUGGCUUAACUGUGGGUUUGCGGUGGAUACGGGCUGGCUUGAGUGCAGUAGGGGAGGCUGGAAUUCCUGGUGUAGCGGUGGAAUGCGCAGAUAUCAGGAGGAAUACCGGUGGCGAAGGCGGGUCUCUGGGCUGUUGCUGACGCUGAGGAGCGAAAGCGUGGGGAGCGAACAGG
Molecule: ribosomal RNA, 420 nt
Filed under: Fusobacteriota bacterium
Lineage: Bacteria; Fusobacteriati; Fusobacteriota
Description: Fusobacteria bacterium partial 16S ribosomal RNA
Rfam family: Bacterial small subunit ribosomal RNA
Source: RNAcentral